AUUGAAAGCUGGCGGCAGGCCUAACACAUGCAAGUCGAGCGAGAGGCAGACGGGUGAGUAAUGCCUAGGAAUAUGCCUGGUAGUGGGGGAUAACGUAAGGAAACGGGCGCUGAUACCGCAUACUAUCAGAUGAGCCUAGGGCGGAUUAGCUAGGUGGUGGGGUAAAGGCCUACAAAGGCGACGAUCCCUAGCUGGUCUGAGAGGAUGACCAGCCAAACUGGAACUUAGACACGGUCCAGACUCCUACGGGAGGCAGCAGUGGGGAAUAUUGCACAAUGGGCGCAAGCCUGAUGCAGCCAUGCCGCGUGUAUGAAGAAGGCCUUCGGGUUGUAAAGUACUUUCAGCGGGGAGGCGUUACCCGCAGAAGAAGCACCGGCUAACUCCGUGCCAGCAGCCGCGGUAAUAC
Molecule: ribosomal RNA, 406 nt
Filed under: uncultured bacterium
Lineage: Bacteria
Description: partial 16S ribosomal RNA
Rfam family: Bacterial small subunit ribosomal RNA
Source: RNAcentral